AGUGGCGGACGGGUGAGUAACGCGUGAGAAUCUGCCUUGGGGUCGGGGACAACCACUGGAAACGGUGGCUAAUACCGGAUACGCCUUCGGGUAAAAGAUUUAUUGCCCUAAGAGGAGCUCGCGUCUGAUUAGCUAGUUGGUGAGGUAAGAGCUCACCGAGGCAGCGAUCAGUAGCUGGUCUGAGAGGACGAUCAGCCACACUGGGACUGAGACACGGCCCAGACUCCUACGGGAGGCAGCAGUGGGGAAUUUUCCGCAAUGGGCGAAAGCCUGACGGAGCAAGACCGCGUGAGGGAGGAAGGCUCUUGGGUUGUAAACCUCUUUUCUCAGGGAAGAAGCUCUGACGGUACCUGAGGAAUCAGCCUCGGCUAACUCCGUGCCAGCAGCCGCGGUAAUACGGAGGAGGCAAGCGUUAUCCGGAAUUAUUGGGCGUAAAGCGUCCGCAGGUGGCGAUUCAAGUCUGCUGUCAAAGCACGGGGCUUAACUCCGUAAAGGCAGUGGAAACUGAAUAGCUAGAGUGCCGUAGGGGUAGAGGGAAUUCCCGGUGUAGCGGUGAAAUGCGUAGAGAUCGGGAAGAACAUCGGUGGCGAAAGCGCUCUACUGGACGGCAACUGACACUCAGGGACGAAAGCUAGGGGAGCGAAUGGGAUUAGAUACCCC
Molecule: ribosomal RNA, 660 nt
Filed under: uncultured bacterium
Lineage: Bacteria
Description: bacterial SSU rRNA
Rfam family: Bacterial small subunit ribosomal RNA
Source: RNAcentral